GGACAUGAUUUAGUGGUGGGUUGUUGGAGUUAGGAUAGUAUGGUUAGGUUGCAGUUAGACUUGAUGAUCUUGAAGGUCAUUUCCAACCUGAGCAAUUCUAUGAUUCUAUGAUUGCUCUUCUGGAUUUCUCAUCCAUUUUCUGGAAUUUUCUUCUAAUGUUGGGUGCUGAUUGACCCACAAAUAAGGUACUAAUCGUUACUCUAUUUGCCUCAUCUUCAAGAUCUAAGUGAACCCAUUCUCAGGUUACCUCAUGCAAUCACUCAUAAAAGGCAGAUAUACCACUUGAUACAAUUUAACAAGAUAUUUUGGUCUAGAACCUCAAUUUUUAUUUUUGUAUGAAAUUAAUUGCUGUUAUUGCUGUAUCAUUAACCUUCCAGCACUCACAUUAAGAUCUCACUUCAUUUCCUAAACUGGCAUAAAUCUCUUGGGGCUAUCCCUAGCAUACUGUCUAUUGUUCUGUUCUUUUGCUUUUUCCACAAGCAUUCUCUUUUCUCUGGCAUGGAUGGAUAAAUCAUUCAACAAUACCUGUAUAUCCUGCCAACCUGGAUUAUGGUUUUCAACAAUUAUUAUAAAAGUCUGGUGCGUCUUACUGGGGUUUUUCUGAGGUGAUCUUGCUAACUCUUUCCAAUUCAUCAGCUCUGAUGUUGUAAAAUGUACUUUUUACAUAUAAAGGCAAUCACUGUGACCCUACUGCUUUAUGCAAAGGAGUCUAAAUUGCAGAAUGUUGCUGUGCUCAUGUUCUCUCUACAACUGGGCUAAAAGCCUCACCAUCCCUCUCUCCAAUUUCUACUCCAUUAGUGAUACUUUCCCUUUCUGGUGUCACUAACAUUUGAAUAUCUUCUUUUUCCUCUUCCAGCUUUAGAUAUUUUUUCCCUAUACUGCAAGCAGAACAUCAUCUUGAUAUCUUUUCCUGUCUUUCACUAUCACCAUUACAUUAGAAUCCAAGGUCAUUUGUUUACUUUCUUUUUAUGGAGUUUCAUGAUCAUUUUGUAAAACAAAGAAAAUUCUACAUAGAGUCUUUCAUCCCAUUUUUCUAACUUUCUUCAAAGCACAUAUAGUGUCAAAGAGUCAUUUUCUGUCAAUUUCACUUUCCUGUUUAUACAUUGGCCACCAUGAUUACAAUAUUCAACCAUUUCUCCUUUUGUUAGGAGAUGCAGUAGGAUUUCUCCUACUGUUUUAAGAUACAACUCAAGGGGGAAUAAGGAGGUAUUGUGGAUCCCUGAGCACUCAUAUUUUUGCCUAAAAAGAAUGUUCUCAACCAAGACUUUAUAUACUCCAGUUACUGAUGAACAUAUAUGAUCAAUCUCUAAUGUGUUUAUGCAUGCAUGUAUAUCCCAAUAUCAUAUGCUCCAAUCAUCACUGUCUAAGCACAUACUAUUAUUAAACAUAUACCUGUUAAACUCUCAUACAACUGUGCAUGCAUGCAUAACCCAAUACUAUAUACUUCAGUUGUCCCUAUCCAAGUGCAUAUGACUGUUAAAUGUACAUAUUAAUGUCUUAUACAAAUAGCAAUAUUUAAUGUAGCAAGUGUUGCACCACUCCAGCUGGGGAGAAUGCUCAUGGAGUCCUUAAUCAAAAGGGCAGUGCAUGCUGGACUCUGAAGAGCAGUGUCUCCCUGCCAGCAGCCAGCAAGUCAAUUUGAUCAAGGAGUCACAGCAGUCUCAUUUGAGUUUCCAGAAACUGUUGUCCAAAAAGUGGAUUUGUUACCCAGUGUGCAACGAACCAAUUCCUACAUGCUGAGGAUAGACAUUGCUUUUUAUUCUUUCUGAGGUGCCGGUAGAAGUUUUCAUAGCUCAAGCACAAUAAAGCAAGUUUCUUCACCAUAAUCAUACAUUGAAUUCCCAUAUGCUCUACCUAUCUAAUACAGAAGAAACACCUACUACCUACAUAUUCAUAAGAUUAAGCAAUCAUGAUUCUCCAUCCCCUUUUGACUAUUUUCCUGGCCAUCUGUGCUUGUAUGGGGUUAUUUGGGGGUCUUAUUCUACCCUCAGUGAUCUUUUGGGGAAUGCACCAUUACUCUUUUUAUCUUUAUAUGGUCAUCUUAUAACCAACUGAACAGUUCUCCUCUUGUCAAUUGUCCAAGAAGAACAAUUGUUCUUGAUUAAUUAGAUAACAUCAAUAGCAAGGACAUUCUGUUUUAGUAUAAUGUUUCAGUACUUGAUCAGAAGGUUUUAUGUUCAUGCCAAUUAAACAUAGACAAUGUUCUUUUCUUUCCAAGGGAAGAUUAUUGUUUCCAUUUAUCUCCUACUUUAUAAAGUUUUGAGGUAUCUGUAUGGUAUCACUGUCAGAGACAGAAUACUUGAUGUGUCACUGUGCCUAAUACUGAGCCUCCUGCGGUUCCGUAGCAAAAUUCUUGUCUUCAUGGGUAAAAUGUACUUACCACAUGGCAAGCGAGAAGAUCUUAUAACUGCGGGAAGCAAGUUUUUUAGAAGUUAGUAUUAUUGAAUGGAAGACAUGAGUGAUCUCAGCUCCAACACUGAAAUAACAAGCAAGCAAGAACCCGUGUGAGCCUGUCCUAGAGUGAAUGAACCCUUCAUCCUGCAGACCAGCAGGAGAAAUGUGGUGAAGCAAGCUCAGAGAAGUUAAUAUGAGAUGGAACAAGCUUUGCAGAGA
Molecule: long non-coding RNA, 2613 nt
Organism: Numida meleagris (helmeted guineafowl)
Lineage: Eukaryota; Metazoa; Chordata; Aves; Galliformes; Numididae
Exons: 4
Source: RefSeq, a predicted model, not a curated record